This 474-nucleotide ribosomal RNA is filed under the name Tripos fusus. Its description in RNAcentral is "bacterial SSU rRNA". It matches the Rfam family "Eukaryotic small subunit ribosomal RNA", at positions 157 to 855 of the family's 1831-position model. The record is from RNAcentral. Lineage: Eukaryota; Dinophyceae; Gonyaulacales; Ceratiaceae.
UCUAGAGCUAAUGCAUGCACACAAACCUGACCUUCAAGUAUGGUUGUGUUUAUUGACUUCAAAACCAACUCAAGCUCUGCUUGAUGUUUUGUAUGACUGAUGAUAAAUUAAUGAAUUGCGUGGCGCAUGCUGGCAAUGAAUUGUUUUAGUUUCUGACCUAUCAGCUUCCGACGGUAAAGUAUGGGCUUACCGUGGCAGUGACGGGUAAUUCCAGCUCCAAUAGCGUAUAUUAAAGUUGUUGCGGUUAAAAAGCUCGUAGUUGGAUUUCUGCUGAAGCAAACCGGUCCGCCCUCUGGGUGAGCAUCUGGCUUUAUUUUGGCAUAUGCUUAGACUUUGCAGCUGCACUUGACUGUGUGGUGUGAAGCUAAGCCAUUUACUUUGAGGAAAUCAGAGUGUUUCAAGCAGCAAUUGCCUUGAAUACACUAGCAUGGAAUAAUAUGAUAUGACUGUGGUUUUAUUUUGUUGGCUUCUAGA